RNAcentral lists this long non-coding RNA (210 nucleotides) under Mytilus galloprovincialis (Mediterranean mussel). The record is from RNAcentral. Lineage: Eukaryota; Metazoa; Mollusca; Bivalvia; Mytilida; Mytilidae.
AUUUAUGCUGCUUUUGGUUGCUCUGGUCAAGCAUGUUUUUACUUCAUUCUAAAUUUGUUGAUUAUUUUUAUUGCAUGCUAUGUAUGUGAGAUUCAACUUUGUAUUACAGGUUGUUUUAUAUGUCAAAAUGCACUGUUUUUAUGUUAUUUAUAUGUUUUUAUAUUCGGUCAAAAGCUCCUUAGAGCUUGUGUUGCUUAUUUGUACUCAUGC